AUCCAACUGUUUUCUUCUCUAGAGAACAUGGAGCUGCACCCACAUAAAGGAAUUCAUCUCCUGAUGUCUCAAGCUACCAAAUCCAUUCUGAAUAGCCCAUCAGAUGGGACACGGAUGAAGUAAUCACAAGCAGGGCCUAGCACCGGGAUGGUGUCAUCAGGAUCUGACGCCAUCAAGGCCUCUGGGGCAGUGGAGAUACCUGAGAGGUGUACGUACUAUCACAGGAAGGCCCAAGACAGUGCCGCCAGGAAACUGGUUUCUUUUUCUGCACACAGUGUCUCUUGGCCACAGGUUUGCAACUCCUGGUGUGGAUACAGUCGACUUUCCGAGACUGGAAGCCCCUGCCACAGGCUGCUGUACAGGGCUUCCAGGGGCCUGCAAGCCAACACACAUCACAGGCCCCUGAUGUGCAGUUCCUUCUUAAGUCUGGCUCCACUUUUGCCUCAAAUAACUCCUUUCACCAUCAGCCACAUGGAACUGCUGAUUCUGAGAUCCCAAGCCUGGCUGGUGAUGAGAAGCAGGCCGAAGCAGACAGCUUUAAAAUGAUGUAGAUGGCCGGGCAAUUUCAUGAAGGUUCUGAUUCACUGUCUAAGACGACCUCUGGGGAGAAGGAAAAAAGGACACGGCAAGUCUUCAAUCAAUUGGGCUUAAGUCCAGAAAUGACUAUGCUUAAACCUGUAAAUGUCUGCCAAGUUUGGGUUUUUCUCCUGUGAGCAAAAAUGAAGGCUCGUGAGCUAAGGAGACAACCUGGAGCUGGACACUUUUGAGAUACUGAGUGCUUCGUCACUGAAGAUGCUGUUGCUGGGAGACCACAGAGCAGAACCUUCUAACCUGGCGUCCACGGUUAUCCAAGAAAACCACAUACUUGGAUGAAAAAGAAUUACAUCUUCAUUGUCACUAAGCUCUAACUGAAAUUUAGUAUUUUUCUUCAAUUAUAGAAACAUAGGCCACAAGUACAGUAGCAUUAAUAUCUGUGAUUUUGUUACCAAUAGAAAUCAUCAAUAUUUGCACAUCACAAUUAUGACAAGUGUCUCAAAAUAUUUAUAUUCAUCACUAUAUUAAAAUUAAAGUACAACUAUAUCUUGUUAUUUUGUAUGUUAAUAGAGAA
Molecule: non-coding RNA, 1108 nt
Organism: Saimiri boliviensis boliviensis (Bolivian squirrel monkey)
Lineage: Eukaryota; Metazoa; Chordata; Mammalia; Primates; Cebidae
Source: RefSeq, a predicted model, not a curated record